GAAGAGGUCUUCUGCAAAGCCAGAGGACUAAGAUGACACGAAAUACCCAAAACUAAGGUCUAAAUGUUCAGUACCAGAUCCACUCAUCCCUCAAAAGAUUAUUCAAGGCUUUUCAGGCUUGAAAAAGAACAAUGAAAUCUCCAUGCGUCAUUCAUAUUUGGCACUGCCUGAUUCCAGCCAGGAGCAGAUCCGCAGGGUUACCACAGGUUAACUUCUUGCAUUCAUAACUGGCGUAUGGAAAGUCUCAUUAACUUGUCUUAAAAAAAUGCAAAAGGAGACAAUUCAUAGAGACGACGAGCUGGUAGAGAGAAAGGGAAAGAAAACCUUCCCCAUUUAAAACACUGCAGACACUAAAAUUUGUCCUGUGAAUUUACACAUUCUUUUCUUUACAUUUCAUUUUUGCCACAUGACCUAUUCUAAAGGUCUUCAUUUUUCAAAGCCAAUAAAACAAAGUCAAAAAAGAUGAAAGAAAAGAAGAUAAAAGAAAGGGGUAUGAAUCCCUGAAAGGCUGUAAAGUUUCAAAUAUUGAAAAGAAUAGCGAAAAUUAAAAAAAAAAACAAUUAAGUAACAAUUUCAGCUUCAAAAGUAGGUUAUUCUCCCUUAAAAGAAGUGCAAAAGUAUCUCAGAGUCAUAGGGUGCUGAAAAACAAACAAAA
Phalacrocorax carbo (great cormorant) is the source of this 655-nucleotide non-coding RNA. NCBI's taxonomy places the organism in Eukaryota, Metazoa, Chordata, Aves, Suliformes, Phalacrocoracidae. The record is from RefSeq and is a predicted model, not a curated record.